This 2808-nucleotide small RNA is filed under the name Pongo abelii (Sumatran orangutan). RNAcentral's name for it is "processed transcript". The record is from RNAcentral. Lineage: Eukaryota; Metazoa; Chordata; Mammalia; Primates; Hominidae.
GGUCCUUAUCACCCCAGCUCCUUUUUUUUUUCUCUCUGUCUCCUGCCUUUUCCAGAAGUCUGUUGAACUCAGAGGGCUGAAUGAGAGCAGUCUUCCCUCCGUGACUGGGAAAUUACACAGGAGGAACUGUAUCCUGACGCAGACGCGAUGCGGUGUUCCAUCAGGAAAUGCUUCAUACUCUCAGUGGGCAUCGUAUUCCUGUGGCUCUUCAUCACUUUGAAAAUCCCCAAGGAAACUGAAGAUGAUCAAAAUGUGAUGACUAUCCAAGGCCUAGUAGCAAGCCUUGAGCCUUGCUCAGUUUGGGAACUGGGAAUAUAGGGUGGAAAUGGUGUGGACAGGCAGAUUCUUGAAAACCCCUGGGCUUGCUUCCUUCCUGAGCUUUUCACCUGAGAGCAGGAAGCUCCAAAGGGGAUGGGGGUAGGGACCUGGGCCUAUUAGUCCAUGAAGAAGCUGUAUUUAUUUUCCUUAUUCGUUAAGGUAAAGGAGAGCAAAUACUGCUUGAGCCCUGGAUAUUUCAGCCAAUGGCCAGGCAUCCUGAGAAUGUGCCAGGCUCACUCUAGGGAGAAUGGUUGACUCCACCUCUUUCCCUAGAAAAGCUUAUGGGAAGCCACUGGGGUGUAAAAUUUGUUCUUUUUAUGAAAGGAUAUAUAUGUUUGCCCUCGUCAAUGCCCCAGGAGGCCAGUUAUAACAGCAGGAAGGACCCAAGACCACUAGAAGACUGGCAGAACCUCACCUUCAAAUAUAUGGAAAAAAUCCAGAAGAGAAGAAAGACAUGGCUGACAGUGGGGAUCUCAUCAGUGCAGCGAGGGGAUGGAAGCAGCCUCUUGUACACAUUGGUCUCCCUGUUCCGUGUUUCCUCUAAGGCUGAGCAGAAACGUCUCACGGUGCUGGUCCACCUGGCAGAUUCUGACCUCACCUGGCUCAGAGAAACUCUUGCCCAUAUUUCAAGCCUCUUCAGCCCACAGAUCUUGAAAGGGCAGUUGCUACUGAUCCAUGCUCCAUCCGAUGCCUACCCCACUGUGGACAGUAUCAGGGAUGAGGCCUUUCGUGGCGAAUUCUACUCCAAGCAGAACGUAGAUCAUGCCUUCCUCAUGAGCUUUGCCACAAAGCUCUCUGAUUACUUCCUGUUAAUAGAGGACAAUGCCUUUUUUGCCCCUAACUUUGUCACCCACAUUCAUUCAAGGGUGACCACCAUGAAGUCCAACUCGUGGGUGCUACUGGAGUUCUCCAAUAUGGGCUUCCUUGGCAAACUCUUCCACAGCAGGGACCUCCCGCUCCUGGCCCAUUUCCUCCUCCUCUUUUACAAGGAGAAAUCCCUUGACAGCCUGAUUUCUCAUUUCCGUACACUCCUGGUCCAGGAAAGCCCAAUCCUCUGCAAACCUUUCCUCUUCUACCGCAGGGUCUCCUACACCGCCUUUGAUCACAAGCAGAAGGCCACAGCACUUCAGAAAAAGAAUGCUGAUGGUCCCAACAACCCGCCUGGAGCUGUCUUCACUGAUAUGCAGGUUUCCGAUGUGCAUUUCCCCUGGGAGGCCUACACUCUGGAUGAGUCAUUCUUUUGGACACACAACAUUAGUAUAGGAAGCCACCUGACAGUGAUUCUGAACCAUCCAGCAAACCUGAGCAGGGUUCAAGUGAUGACGGGCUCCAUUGUGGAUGGGAGGUACGCCCUGGAGAAGGGGCAGGUGGAGCUGGGCUACCAACCUGAGGGGGUGCCGCAGCACUGCACCAGCUUUGCCUUGCUGGGACAUCUUUUGGAGGGGCAGAUGGAUCAGAAGAUACUUCUGAAAGGUAUGGGGUACCACGUGAGCUGUGUGAGGCUGAUGGUGAAAGCUGGUCAGGCUGGGGGGCUCAUGAUCAGGCAUAUCUACCUCUGGGAGAAAAAUGACAAAUAGCAGCAAGUGGAUCAAUGCUGAAGAUAAAUCAGUAGGGGGAUGAAAAAUUAAAAUCUUAAAGCCAUUUCAUUCUAGUCUAUAUGAGUGACAUAGGGGAGACACAAUGGAAUGAAGGGCAGACAGAGAAGACUAUCAGUCUUUUGGUGCCGCCGAGAUGUCAGGAGACUUAUUGCUUCCUUUCUAUCCAAACAACUCUCAUAGGAUAUCUUUUGCUGUGGCAUAUAUAGCUUAUCCGAAUUUGGGGAGAGUUUUGGUCACUCCCAAAAUCUUUAGAUACCUGGGAUGCUGAGAUCAGCCCAAAUCAAGGUGUCUCUGUGUGUACAUGCGUGUGCGUGUAUGCAUUUCUAUGUUCACACAGAGGCAGAGGUGGGGAUGAGGUAUGUGGUCAUAGGAGGGCAGGCAGGAAAAUCACGGCUGAAUCCCUAGAAUUGACAUCAUAAAAAGCCGUGAAAGGGACUCUCAUGAGAAGUUAAAAUCUCUGAAGUGCAGGAAAGUAGCAGAUGGACAAAUAGCAAUAAAACAAAUCCCUUAGCUCUAUUAUUGAAGCUGUUUCACAGUGCCAAUCUAGUUCCCUCCUUUCCUCACCAACAAACUUGGGCACAAAUAGGUUUUAACUAGGCUGGGUAUGGUGGCUCAUGCCAGUAAUUGCAGCCUCCCUUAGGAGGCUGAGGUGGGAGGAUCUCUUGAGGCCAGCAGUUCAAGACCAACCUAGGCAACACGGCAAGACCCUGUCUCCACAAAAAAUUAAAAAGUUAGCUAGCUUGUAGUUGCAUGUGCCUGUGGUCCUAGCUACUCAGGAGGCUGAGGCAGGAGGAUCACUUGAGCCCAGGAGGUUGAGGCUGCAGUGAGCCAUGAUUAUGCCAUUACACUCCAGCCUGGGCAACAGAGUGAGACCCUGUCUCAAAAAAAAAAA